RNA transcript from Panicum virgatum (switchgrass), 2734 nucleotides. It is a transcript of the gene named HBS1-like protein, with no coding region annotated. The record is from RefSeq and is a predicted model, not a curated record. Lineage: Eukaryota; Viridiplantae; Streptophyta; Magnoliopsida; Poales; Poaceae. The transcript has 12 exons.
CCCACCCGCACCAGGCACCACGCCGCGGCCGCGCCUGCUCGACUUGCCCCCGACACGAUCCCCAACCCUCUCGCGGCUCCAGUCCAGGGAAGCUCCCACCCUCCGGAGAGCGGCGAGAGAGCUCAAGGUUUCGAGCCCCCGAUCACAUCUAGCCGGCGUCAAGGAGAAUGCCUCGCAAAGUUGUAUCUGGGCCUGACUGCGAUGAUGAUUACGAUGACUAUGAUGAGUAUGAUGAUGAUUAUGAUGAGUAUGAUGACACCAGAUAUGGCAACGAUCAACAUCCUGUUCAGAAGGAAAAAGAAUCAUUGAAAAAGUCCUCAACUAUGGUGCCCGUGCAUUGGACCUGUUCCAUGUGCACGUUCAAUAAUCAUGAAAGCAUGACGUACUGUGAGAUGUGUGGGGUUUUCCAUGAAACCUUUGUCAAAUCUGCCAAGAAUGGUUCAUUAAAAGAUGCAGUCGGCGCAGCGUCAAGUGAGCCUAGGGCAAGUGCUGCACCAAAAACAGAUUCUGCCAAGACGGCGAUGAAGACUCGUGGUGUGCAUUCUGAUAAUGAUUCUGCGAGAAAGCAUGCUAGUACACCAUGUGAUAAAGCCAAUUCCACACAGUUACCAUCUGCUGGUAGCUCAUUAAGUGCUGGAAAAAAGAAGAAAACUCCUGUAGUUUCUGAAGAAAUACCUGUGGAAAGGACAGCUCUAUUGGUCCCCAAUCAUUUUCAGCUGAAGAAUGACAGGAGUGGUGGGGCUAGCAGUUCCUUGCAGAAUGAUUAUGUGACCCAGAAACUCUCUUCUGACAUAAGCCAGCUAAAUGUAGACAAGAACAAUGUGAAUGUUACGAAACCUUGUUUGCCUGAAGAGUAUAAGCCUGAGAAGUGGAUGUUAGCUGAUCAGGAGUCAGGGGUGUUGAGCCAGCUAAACCUUGCAAUAGUGGGUCAUGUUGAUUCUGGCAAGUCGACACUAUCUGGGAGAUUACUGCAUCUAUUAGGAAGGAUAUCGAGAAAAGAUAUGCACAAGAAUGAGAAGGAGUCGAAAGAGAAAGGGAAGGGAUCAUUUGCUUUUGCAUGGGCCAUGGAUGAGAGCAGUGAAGAAAGGGAACGAGGUGUGACAAUGACAGUUGGUGUGGCCUAUAUGGAGACGAAGAAAUACCGUGUGGUUUUGCUUGACUCACCUGGCCACAAAGAUUUUGUGCCAAAUAUGAUAUCUGGUGCAACACAAGCUGAUGCAGCUAUUCUUGUGGUUGAUGCUUCAACGGGUUCUUUUGAAGCCGGUAUGGAUGGUGAAGGAGGAAAAAGUGUCGGUCAGACUAAAGAGCAUGCUCAGCUUAUUAGAAGCUUUGGCGUUGAACAGCUUGUUGUUGCAGUGAACAAGAUGGAUGCUGUUGCAUACUCAAAAGAAAGAUUUGAGUUCAUCAAACUACAACUUGGCAGUUUUCUGCGGUCUUGCAACUUCAAAGACUCAGCUAUUACCUGGAUUCCUCUUAGUGCUGUAGAAAAUCAGAAUUUGAUCAAACCUCCUUCAGAUGCUUGUUUGACCUCCUGGUAUCAAGGGUUCUGUCUCUUGGAUGCUAUAGAUUCCCUGCAGCUUCCUUCUCGGGAUGUUACAAAGCCCCUCAUUCUUCCCAUCUGUGAUGUUAUCAAGUCUCAGUCAACAGGGCAGUUGGCAGCUUUUGGAAAAUUGGAAACUGGGGCUAUUCAAAAUGGUUCUAAGGUGUUAGUUUUACCUUGCGGGGUAGAGGCGACAGUGAAAAACAUUGAGCGGGACACUAAUUCAUGCAGCGUAGCAAGAGCUGGUGACAAUGUGGCGGUUAGUUUACAGGGUAUUGAUGGGAAUCAACUAAUACCUGGCGGGGUGCUUUGCCACCCUGGUUUCCCUGUGGCUGUAGCUAACCGCUUGGAGCUUAAGAUUCUAGUCCUGGAUAUUGCCAUUCCAAUUCUUGUUGGUUCUCAGGUGGAGUUUCACAUACACCAUGUCAAGGAGGCUGCAAGAGUAACAAAAAUCAUUGCUUUGCUUGACAAGACUGGGAAACCAAGUAAAUCAGCACCCCGAUUUCUUAACUCAAAACAGAACGCUGUUGUGCAGGUUGCCCUUGAUGGGGCGGUCUGCGUUCAGGAAUUCUCCAAGAGCCGAGCACUUGGGAGGGCAUACUUAAGGUCGUCUGGUCGCACAAUUGCUGUUGGUGUAGUUAAUCGGGUAAUUGGCCAAGAUGAGAACUAGAAGACCUCAACUCUUCUGAAACCUGAACCGAAUCAGUCAUUGCUAGGAUGUAGAGACCUUAUCAGAACCCUGGUGCUGGCAAGUUUUGUUUUCUGUUUGCUUUAUCGGCAUUAUGGCCAUUCCAAUGUAUUGGAAUAUGGCUGUAAGGUAAUACUAGUCCCAACUCCCGGCCAGUGAUCAUCGAGUGGUGCGAGGCCAUGCAAGAUUCACGGAGGUGCCCAUAAUAUUGAUCUGCCGCUGUAACUACGGGCAGCCAUGGCACAUGUGCGGUCAGGCACGGCGUGUCAACGAGACGCUUGGGGAUUGGUCGACUUCCAACACAUAUUCGAAGUGUUCACGAGUACUCCCUCCGUUCCAAAUAAAUUGUAGGUCGUUUUAAUAAAUUUAGAUGCAUAAUUUUUACUACACAUCUAGAUAAAUACUAUGUCUAGAUACAUGACAAAAAAUUUGUAUCUAGAUUUGCCAAAACGACCUACAAUUUGGAACGAAGGGAGUAUAUAAUAGGAAAAAGUCCUUUCUGUCUC